UUUGCCCGUACUGCUAAAUACGGCUAAUCAUUGGCCGUACGAUAGCUCGGGGCAUUUGUUUGUACGAAUUCUACGGGUAGAGAGCCAUGCGCGCUCUGAUAGUACUAACAAACGCAACAGAAAUGGCCAAUCUAGGAAUGGCCCCUCCCUGCUCUCUGCAGUGUCAAACUCUAAGCAUCCAUAUCGGGGCACCCGCCUUGAGCUAAUCCAAAUCCAUAAUAUCAUAUUCAAAUAUCAAAAAUUUAAUGUAGAAUGAAAAAAAUAUGAUACUAUUGAAAAGAUACGUUCUCAACCAGUGACGAAGCCAACGUGGAGUUAGAAGGGCCAUUCCCCUUCCC
This 338-nucleotide long non-coding RNA is filed under the name Setaria viridis. RNAcentral describes it as "long non-coding RNA (SVIR_LNC001059)". Lineage: Eukaryota; Viridiplantae; Streptophyta; Magnoliopsida; Poales; Poaceae. The record is from RNAcentral.